Long non-coding RNA from Rana temporaria (common frog), 216 nucleotides. RefSeq lists it as uncharacterized. The transcript has 3 exons. The record is from RefSeq and is a predicted model, not a curated record. NCBI's taxonomy places the organism in Eukaryota, Metazoa, Chordata, Amphibia, Anura, Ranidae.
AGCUGAUUGAUGGUUAUAAAACUACUCUCAUACAGAUUCACUCUGGACAAACAACCAACUAUUUCUUUAGAAUAACAAAGGUCUGCUAUAAAGUGUUUUCCACUUCAGACGAAAUAUCUGUUAAGAUUUCAUCUUCUGGAGAAAUGGUGUAAGAAAAGGGCAGUCAUCUGAUCGGCACAACUUUGUUACACAAUGCAAGAAAACUGUGGACAUUUU